CCUACGGGUGGCAGCAGUGGGGGAUAUUGGACAAUGGGGGGAACCCUGAUCCAGCGACGCCGCGUGAGUGAAGAAGUAUUUCGGUAUGUAAAGCUCUGUCAGCAGGGAAGAAAGAAAUGACGGUACCUGACCAAGAAGCCCCGGCUAACUACGUGCCAGCAGCCGCGGUAAUACGUAGGGGGCAAGCGUUAUCCGGAAUUACUGGGUGUAAAGGGAGCGUAGACGGUUAAGUAAGUCUGGAGUGAAAGGCCGGGGCCCAACCCCGGGACUGCUCUGGAAACUAUUGAACUUGAGUGCAGGAGAGGUAAGCGGAAUUCCUAGUGUAGCGGUGAAAUGCGUAGAUAUUAGGAGGAACAUCGGUGGCGAAAGCGCUUUACUGGACCAUUAUUGACGCUGAGGAACGAAAGCCAGGGGAGCAAAUGGGAUUAGAUACCCCGGUAGUC
Molecule: ribosomal RNA, 443 nt
Filed under: uncultured bacterium
Lineage: Bacteria
Description: partial 16S ribosomal RNA
Rfam family: Bacterial small subunit ribosomal RNA
Source: RNAcentral